CCGAAAGGCGUAGUCGAUGGGAAACGGAUUAAUAUUUCCGUACUUGGUAUAAUUGCGAUGGGGGGACGGAGCAGGCUAAGCAAGCAUGGCGAUGGUAGUCCAUGUGAAAGUGUGUAGGCUAGCGACUUAGGUAAAUCCGGGUUGCUGUUAGGCUGAGACACGAGACGAGUCACCAAGGUGAUGAAGUUGCUGAUGCCAUACUUCCAGGAAAAGCCUCUAAGCUUCAGAUUAUACCGAAUCGUACCCCAAACCGACACAGGUGGUCAGGUAGAGAAUACUAAGGCGCUUGAGAGAACUCGGGUGAAGGAACUAGGCAAAAUCGUACCGUAACUUCGGGAGAAGGUACGCUCCGAUUGGUGAUGAGACUUGCUCUCUAAGCUGAUUGGAGCCGCAGUGACCAGGUGGCUGGGACUGUUUAUUAAAAACACAGCACUGUGCAAAAUCGCAAGAUGACGUAUACGGUGUGACACCUGCCCGGUGCCGGAAGGUUAAUUGAUGGGGUUAUCUUCGGAGAAGCUCUUGAUCGAAGCCCCGGUAAACGGCGGCCGUAACAAUAACGGUCCUAAGGUAGCGAAAUUCCUUGUCGGGGAAGUUCCGACCUGCACGAAUGG
RNAcentral lists this ribosomal RNA (611 nucleotides) under Paraphysomonas bandaiensis. RNAcentral's name for it is "partial Bacterial large subunit ribosomal RNA". It matches the Rfam family "Bacterial large subunit ribosomal RNA", at positions 1402 to 1999 of the family's 2925-position model. The record is from RNAcentral. Lineage: Eukaryota; Chrysophyceae; Chromulinales; Paraphysomonadaceae.